This 253-nucleotide ribosomal RNA is filed under the name uncultured bacterium. RNAcentral describes it as "partial 16S ribosomal RNA". It matches the Rfam family "Bacterial small subunit ribosomal RNA", at positions 524 to 776 of the family's 1533-position model. The record is from RNAcentral.
UACGUAGGGGGCAAGCGUUGUCCGGAUUUAUUGGGCGUAAAGAGCGUGUAGGCGGCUAGGUAGGUCCGUUGUGAAAACUCGAGGCUCAACCUCGAGACGUCGAUGGAAACCAUCUAGCUAGAGUCCGGAAGAGGAGAGUGGAAUUCCUGGUGUAGCGGUGAAAUGCGCAGAUAUCAGGAAGAACACCAAUGGCGAAGGCAGCUCUCUGGGACGGUACUGACACUGAGACGCGAAAGCGUGGGGAGCGAACAGG